This 416-nucleotide long non-coding RNA is filed under the name Nicotiana benthamiana. RNAcentral's name for it is "long non-coding RNA (NBEN_LNC016679)". The record is from RNAcentral. Lineage: Eukaryota; Viridiplantae; Streptophyta; Magnoliopsida; Solanales; Solanaceae.
AUUAAUAAAGAAUAAGAUACAGGGAAUAGAAAAUAAAAACAACUAUUGACUAAAAGCCUAGUAUCUUAGCAUUAGAAUCCCUGUUUUCAUUUCUCAGCUUUCAAUUGAAUGUCACAUUGUGUGAGUGUCAAAGAUCAAUACCUGGAAAAAAAACAAAGGAGAAGGUGAGGAAUGGAGCAUUAACAGCAGAGAUGAAUCCAGAUUCAGCAAUUUAGAACAGGGAACCAGCUCAAAACCCAACAAAAUUGUAAUAUAUCAAACAACUUGAACCAAAAACUUUCAGAAAAACCAAUAUUAAUUCAUACUUAAUCUCAAAUGAACCAGAAAAUAUUUCAGGACUUGAAAAUUUCAAUACUGAAUAAAGAGAUCAAUGAAAUAGCAGUAAUUUGGCCGUCUAAAGUUUUUUUGAUAUUUAG